UAGUCAAGCCAGAACACCACGCGCCCGCGCUUUUUCGCCAGGCAAGAAGGCAGAAAAGUUUCGUCGCACAUGGGAGACUUCUGUACAGCUGUUCUGUAUUUUCGGCAGCUGAAGACCGUGUUGGACAUCAGAUGCCCUCCAUCAGCAUGAAAUCUGAACCUAGAGGAACUGCUGGUGGUCUGGAGGCACCAGCGGGUGGCGUACAGGACCUGGCCCAGAGAGUAGAUCUGCCAUCAGCACAUUACCAUGUCAUCCUCACGGAGCACUGCAAUGGUGCGUUGUGAUACCUAGCCUGGUACCCACUGCCAGUCCCGGCCCCAUCCUGUAACAGAGGCCAGUAAGGGUUUCAACCUGUCACCACUCGCCGGGCACCGUCCUGUGCUAUAGCGACCACUCACACACCUGCCCCUGCCCUGUUUUAUGGCUGCCAACCACUCAUCUGGCUUUGUCCUGCACAACGAGAGCCACCUGACAACCAGAACAGCCUUGUGCCAUGGCAGUUCUGCUAUAGCAACACAUCAGCGCCAACAUCUCAUCGGUUUUGCUGGGGGCCGCCGCCCUAUCUACGACAAGCCACGCGCACUGCAUAGAUCACCGUAUCAGCGUCGAGAGGAGCGAGUGCAUGCAAACCAACGAGCAUAUUGCGCCGUCAGCUUCUGAUGGCCCUGAGCUCCCAGCGACACCUUUUUGUCAGCGCAGCGUGACGUCAUCGACAGCCGCUUCUACAAAAGAACCGCUCUGCUGCUUGAACUUCAGGGGACACGGCGGACCCGGCCCUGCAACAAUGCUGACCAGGCACCUGCUCUUCGUUGUGCAGAGUUGUUGCACUUACUGGCUGCACUCUGCUAUGGAUCCUGCACAGCCCUGAUGGAUCAUGUGGCUGCAGUGACAUGUGCAAUAGAUCACUUGGUGCCUACCUUUCCUGCCGUUGUGCUCACACAGAUCCGUGCAUCCUUUACAUAUGUGGACACAGUGUCUCCGGUACCAGGUCUUCACCCUACCAUUGGCUUGCUGCCAACCCUGGGACAUUUUUUGCUUUCGCAUAAGAAGCAUCCACCCAAAGUCGCAGUUCAGUAAACUUGGUGACACCACCCA
Long non-coding RNA from Dermacentor andersoni, 1095 nucleotides. RefSeq lists it as uncharacterized. The record is from RefSeq and is a predicted model, not a curated record. Lineage: Eukaryota; Metazoa; Arthropoda; Arachnida; Ixodida; Ixodidae.